Molecule: long non-coding RNA, 305 nt
Filed under: Equus asinus (donkey)
Lineage: Eukaryota; Metazoa; Chordata; Mammalia; Perissodactyla; Equidae
Description: lncRNA (ENSEASG00005029263.1)
Source: RNAcentral
CUGAGGCAGAAGCAGAGGAUGAAUAUGAGCUCACUGGUGGACACUGGGUGGAAUGGAGGACACCAGGAGCAAGUUAAUUCAUAGAAGAUUGGAAAGGCAGAGUGCCCUGAAGGAGUGUGCGUUUUUCCAUCCUUAGACAAGGGAGUUUCUGGAGCUGAGAUGGCUUUUCAGAGAGAUUCUGCACUGAGACCUGCCUUGCAAGAAAUUGUUACAAGAAGUUCUUCAGAGAGAAGGAAAAUUAUACACCGGUCAGCAAUUCAAAUCUAUAUAAAGGAAGAAAGAGCAUUAGGAGAGGAAUAUGCGAA